Epinephelus fuscoguttatus (brown-marbled grouper) is the source of this 834-nucleotide non-coding RNA. NCBI's taxonomy places the organism in Eukaryota, Metazoa, Chordata, Actinopteri, Perciformes, Serranidae. The record is from the annotation of a RefSeq genome assembly.
AUGACGAAGGCGAAACCCUCCACUUCACCACAACCUCCGGCUCUCAGAGUGCACCUGCACCUCUGCACCGACACCCCCGCACUGCUCUGCAGACACAUCCCUGAUGGACUAAGUAAAGAUGAUAUCUACCUACUAAAGAUCCUGCUGGCAGCAAGUGCUGAGCUGACAGGACCUGAACAGUCUCACAACGUCUCCAUCAUGAUGUUACUGGUGUUUAUAUUUUGCUUUUCUCAUCUGCCACGGAUUAAAGGUGCCUCUCACAGCAACAGUGUCUUCCAAACACCUCCUUUCAUCAUUAAGGAAACUGGUCAAUCUGUUGCCAGAGAAAUCAACUGUUCUCACAGCAUACCAAGUUAUGACCGAAUUCUCUGGUACAAACAAGACGAACAAGGAGCUCUGAAGUUUCUGGGAAAUCUGUUUGUAAAUAGCGCUACUGUCGAGGACGACGUGAAAGGAAAAAUCAGCUUUGAUGGAGAUGGUCGGACACAUUCACGCCUCAACAUUUCUGAUCUUGCAUUAGAUGACAGUGGUGUGUAUUUCUGUGCUGCCAGUCAGCACAGUGCUGCAGAUUCCCCUCACGUCAAUACAAAAACUCUCCUUUAUCUGUCUGCAGAGAGACAACAUGUUGAGUCUCUCCAACACCUGCAGCUUUGAAGACUUCAGUCAGUGUUAUGACACCAGUGUGACAAAAAUACUCACAACACAUUCUGUGUGACACUGUUUGAAACUAAGAUUCUUUAAGCAUUCACAGUGAUCAUAAUUAAUAUAGAAGAAUAAAGAAAGAAUAAGAAGCUGAUGAAAGUCACAGACCUCAAACUGACCUCUGUUUUAGGU